Molecule: transfer RNA, 66 nt
Filed under: Chrysopa pallens
Lineage: Eukaryota; Metazoa; Arthropoda; Insecta; Neuroptera; Chrysopidae
Description: tRNA-Tyr
Rfam family: tRNA
About the family: Transfer RNA (tRNA) molecules are approximately 80 nucleotides in length. Their secondary structure includes four short double-helical elements and three loops (D, anti-codon, and T loops).
Source: RNAcentral
GGUAAAAUGGCUGAAGAUUAGGCGAUAAAUUGUAAAUUUAUUAAUGGGAAUAAAUCUCUUUUACCA